RNAcentral lists this ribosomal RNA (1150 nucleotides) under uncultured bacterium. RNAcentral describes it as "bacterial SSU rRNA". It matches the Rfam family "Bacterial small subunit ribosomal RNA", at positions 8 to 1159 of the family's 1533-position model. The record is from RNAcentral.
AGAGUUUGAUCCUGGCUCAGAUUGAACGCUGGCGGUAGGCUUAACACAUGCAAGUCGAGCGGAAACGAUGUAGCUUGCUACAGGCGUCGAGCGGCGGACGGGUGAGUAACGCGUAGGAACCUACCUAGUAGUUUGGGAUAGCCAUUGGAAACGAUGAUUAAUACCGGAUACGCCCCACGGGGGAAAGAGGGCUUCGGCUCUCGCUAUUAGAUGGGCCUGCGUAAGAUUAGCUAGUUGGUGAGGUAAAGGCUCACCAAGGCGACGAUCUUUAGCUGGUUUGAGAGGAUGAUCAGCCACACUGGGACUGAGACACGGCCCAGACUCCUACGGGAGGCAGCAGUGGGGAAUAUUGCACAAUGGGCGCAAGCCUGAUGCAGCCAUACCGCGUGUGUGAAGAAGGCCCUAGGGUUGUAAAGCACUUUCAGCGAGGAGGAAAGGUUAGUAGUUAAUACCUGCUAGCUGUGACGUUACUCGCAGAAGAAGGACCGGCUAACUCCGUGCCAGCAGCCGCGGUAAUACGGAGGGUCCGAGCGUUAAUCGGAAUUACUGGGCGUAAAGCGUACGUAGGUGGUUUGUUAAGUUGGAUGUGAAAGCCCAGGGCUCAACCUUGGAACUGCAUUCAAAACUGAUGAACUCGAGUAUGGUAGAGGUAAGUGGAAUUUCCUGUGUAGCGGUGAAAUGCGUAGAGAUGGGAAGGAACAUCAGUGGCGAAGGCGACUUACUGGACCAAUACUGACACUGAGGUACGAAAGCGUGGGUAGCAAACAGGAUUAGAUACCCUGGUAGUCCACGCCGUAAACGAUGUCUACUAGCCGUUGGGAUCCUUGAGAUCUUAGUGGCGCAGCUAACGCAGUAAGUAGACCGCCUGGGGAGUACGGUCGCAAGAUUAAAACUCAAAUGAAUUGACGGGGGCCCGCACAAGCGGUGGAGCAUGUGGUUUAAUUCGAAGCAACGCGAAGAACCUUACCUACUCUUGACAUCCACAGAACUUCUGAGAGAUCAGUUGGUGCCUUCGGGAACUGUGAGACAGGUGCUGCAUGGCUGUCGUCAGCUCGUGUUGUGAAAUGUUGGGUUAAGUCCCGUAACGAGCGCAACCCUUGUCCUUAGUUACCAUCAUUUAGUUGGGUACUUUAAGGAGACUGCCGGUGAC